Molecule: long non-coding RNA, 1049 nt
Filed under: Canis lupus familiaris (dog)
Lineage: Eukaryota; Metazoa; Chordata; Mammalia; Carnivora; Canidae
Description: lncRNA (ENSCAFG00845030042.1)
Source: RNAcentral
CUACCUCUGUCUUUACUCGUUCUCUUUUAUGUACUUUUGCCCUGGGGCUUCAGAAUGAAGUGACUUCUUUAUGCAGCCAAGUCUGUGGUUCCAGUUGAAAGAGAGAGUAAGUCAGGAGAGGAGCAGAGGAAGAAAACUUCCAGCUGACUCUCUGCUAAGUGUGGAGCCCCAUGUGGGCCUUGACCUUACAAUCCAUGGGAUCACUGACCUGAACUGAAAUCAAGAGUCCAACACUUAACCAACUGAGCCACUCAGGCAUCCACAAUGGAUUCUUAAAAACUGACAUCAGGUAGUCUCAAACUAUACGAAGAAACAAGUUGUUUGGAGAAUGUGCUUAUUUAUCAUGCAAAGGACAUUAUUCACAGUCAUUAGAAUUUUAAAGUUAUCUUCUGAAUAUAAAAAUAUGUUACACACAUUUAUAAAGAUCUCAGGGAAAAUUUAGGUUGAUAUGAAUAUUGUAUGAAAUUAUUAUAUGGGAUUGAACAAUUCAGUACAUGCUCUUAGAGACAUUUUAAUGUUGAAGUUGCUUUUAAGAAUUAUUAACUAGUGAAUAAUUAAAAUGUUGUCAGAAUGGAUUCAAGGCCAAUUAGUUUGGUUGCAGAUAAAAGGGCCUAAGAAAUCCAUGACUGCCAACAAGGGCAAUUAAUAGGAUUUAUUUGCAUGGUGUAAAAAAAAAAAAAUUCAGCAUGGGUACCAAAAUGUACAUCUUCUAGAAUAUAGCAAUUUAGCUUUCAUGCCCAAAUUGGAAAUAUAAUACUAACAUAAAUGAAUCCAAUAAUGAGGUGCAGUUAAGUAAUGGCAUAGUAAUAAUAUCUGACAUUUGUAUAUGCUUUAUUUCUUUUCAAUUAAUUUUAUAGCUCUUUUAUCCAGAUUACUGGACCUAAAACCUGUUUGUAACAGUUUAUACAGGUUCUAGUGUCCUUCACUUUGAAUGGAUUGAUUUAUGAAUUUCAAACAACCAAACUGACAUUUUUACGCCAAAUAAACUGGUUAUUUGGCUAAACCCACGGACUCGACCUAUCGCCGUGGUGACAAGCAGAUACUCUCUG